Molecule: non-coding RNA, 76 nt
Filed under: Cetobacterium somerae
Lineage: Bacteria; Fusobacteriati; Fusobacteriota; Fusobacteriia; Fusobacteriales; Fusobacteriaceae
Also listed under: 1 other name
Description: c-di-GMP sequence
Rfam family: c-di-GMP-I riboswitch aptamer
About the family: GEMM was predicted in a large-scale screen for bacterial structured RNA regulatory elements. Genes associated with GEMM are involved in a diverse array of functions, including chemotaxis regulation, signal transduction, secretion and chitin.
Source: RNAcentral
UUAUUUAUAAGGCAAAGUAGGGGAAACCCUAUGACGCAAAGCUAUAGGGUCUUUAAAAUGGCAGCCAGCUGCAGUA